AUACCUCUUGUCCAGAUCCUAUUGAAGUCUACCUCCGCUGCACAUUUGAUCAACGGGUAAAUUAUAUUUUACCCCCCUGUGGUUUACCCUUUUUUUACAUAACCCCCCUAUGAUUUCAAAAGCUAUACAUAACCCCCUCAUGGUUUGGAUUAAAGUGUCAAAGUAACGGAAAUAGUCACUCGUAACGGAACUUCUAAAAAUGUCGAAAUUACCCUUAUAAAUACAUGACACAUUAACCCCCUAUGAUUUUUAUAUUUUACCAUAUAACCCCCAUAUGGUUUAAUACUUUACUAUAUAACCCCCUUAUGAUUUUCAAAACAAACACAUAACCCCCC
Molecule: long non-coding RNA, 335 nt
Filed under: Coffea arabica (coffee)
Lineage: Eukaryota; Viridiplantae; Streptophyta; Magnoliopsida; Gentianales; Rubiaceae
Description: long non-coding RNA (CARA_LNC005090)
Source: RNAcentral